GGCAAGAUGGCCGAGCGGUUAUGGCGGAAGGUUCAAGGGUAACAAAUCCUUACCUGUACAACAGGUAGUAUUCUUCUGGGGCAACCCGCGUGGGUUCGAAUCCCACUCUUGUCA
Hypoxylon argillaceum is the source of this 114-nucleotide non-coding RNA. The record is from the annotation of a GenBank genome assembly. NCBI's taxonomy places the organism in Eukaryota, Fungi, Ascomycota, Sordariomycetes, Xylariales, Hypoxylaceae.